This 250-nucleotide ribosomal RNA is filed under the name Glomus sp. Ah. RNAcentral's name for it is "partial large subunit ribosomal RNA". It matches the Rfam family "Eukaryotic large subunit ribosomal RNA", at positions 325 to 580 of the family's 3401-position model. The record is from RNAcentral. Lineage: Eukaryota; Fungi; Glomeromycota; Glomeromycetes; Glomerales; Glomeraceae.
GGCGAGAGACGAUAGCGAACAAUACCGUGAGGGAAAGAUGAAAAGAACUUUGAAAAGAGAGUUAAACAGUACGUGAAAUUGUUGAAAGGGAAACGAUUGAAGUCAGUCAUACUAACGGGAAAUCAACCUCUUGAGUUUGGUCUCGUGGGUUUCGAAGAGUUUUAAAAGCCUUCGGAUUUACGAGAUUGGGCUCUCCUGGUGUACUUUCUCGUACGGUUAGUCAACAUCGGUUUUGAAUGUCAUAAAAUGA